UACGAAGGGGGCUAGCGUUGUUCGGAAUCACUGGGCGUAAAGCGCACGUAGGCGGGUCGUUAAGUCGGGGGUGAAAUGCCAAGGCUCAACCUUGGAACUGCCUUCGAUACUGGCGAUCUCGAGUCCGGGAGAGGUGAGUGGAACUCCGAGUGUAGAGGUGAAAUUCGUAGAUAUUCGGAAGAACGCCAGUGGCGAAGGCGGCUCACUGGCCCGGUACUGACGCUGAGGUGCGAAAGCGUGGGGAGCAAACGGG
RNAcentral lists this ribosomal RNA (253 nucleotides) under uncultured bacterium. RNAcentral describes it as "partial 16S ribosomal RNA". It matches the Rfam family "Bacterial small subunit ribosomal RNA", at positions 524 to 776 of the family's 1533-position model. The record is from RNAcentral.